GAUGGCGCUGACGUAAAACACGGAAUACUAACCACAUUCUAUCUGUCAUGCACCAAUACAACUAAAAAGGCGUUUCAUUUUAAUAAAACUCAUCGACGGACCAUGAUCGUCCUCUUUCCAAACCAGAUCCUCGAGUGAAUUAGUAGUGCGCGACGUGACUAGUUUAUCCAUAAAUUUGAAGUAGUCAUUGUUAAAAACCUCAAGUGGUGAAUUUUCUAAUAAGUUUGUGUUGUUCUUAAUAGGCGAAAAUCAAGCUGGCAAAAAGGCAGUUUUUGUUCAAUAGUACGAAGUAGUGAAUAGUAUUACGCCAGCCAUUGUAGCCAUAAAAGCAUCAUUGUUCUAUUGUUUGCUUGUGAUUCACGCGGUGGAUCCGCGGAGAAUCCGACGUACCACUGGGAAAGCCAUCUUCUGUCCGGCCGUCCGCCGAAAGUUCAGCUAUUCUCCUUUCCGUCAGUCCGCCGAGGAUCAAGCCACCACCAGUUCCGGCAGUCCGCCGAGUGAUCAGCCGCGGACCAAGUCCCCAUCCACUCAGGCAGCCCGCCGAGUGUCAGCCAUUUUCCUUCCGGCAUUCCGCCGAAGACCAAGCCAUCUCCAGUCAGGCCGUCCGCCGACAAACAAGCCAUCCGUUCGGCAUUCCGCCGAAGACCAAGCCAUCUCCAGUCCGGCCGUCUGCCGACCAACAAGCCACCCUUUUGACAGUCCGCCGAAAGCUCUGCCAUUUUCCAUCUGGCAGUCCGCCGUCAACCAAGCUGCACUAAGCUACGGCCGUCCGUCGAGUCAAACUACAACCACCGUCCGCCGAGAGUCGCCGAUUACGCUUAUUCCGGCAACCCGUCCAAUAGCCAACCAUCCACCAAUCCAGCCACCCUGUGUCGUCAAUAUGUGCCACCGCCAGCCCAGAAUGACGUCACUAUGAUCUUCAGCAGCCAAAACCACCCACAAGAACCCGCAAGAUCGCCAAGCAUGCAAGUAUACCCCAAGUUUGUGACGUCACUACAAUAAAUACCUGUUAAGAUGAA
This is a long non-coding RNA of Aedes aegypti (yellow fever mosquito), 1019 nucleotides long. RefSeq lists it as uncharacterized. The transcript is spliced from 2 exons. Lineage: Eukaryota; Metazoa; Arthropoda; Insecta; Diptera; Culicidae. The record is from RefSeq and is a predicted model, not a curated record.